GAUUCAUGAUAACUUUACGGAUCGCAUAGCCUUGCGCUGGCGACGGUUCAUUCAAAUUUCUGCCCUAUCAACUUUCGAUGGUAAGGUAUUGGCUUACCAUGGUUUCAACGGGUAACGGGGAAUUAGGGUUCGAUUCCGGAGAGGGAGCCUGAGAAACGGCUACCACAUCCAAGGAAGGCAGCAGGCGCGCAAAUUACCCAAUCCCGACACGGGGAGGUAGUGACAAUAAAUACUGAUACAGGGCUCUUUUGGGUCUUGUAAUUGGAAUGAGUACAAUUUAAACCUCUUAACGAGGAACAAUUGGAGGGCAAGUCUGGUGCCAGCAGCCGCGGUAAUUCCAGCUCCAAUAGCGUAUAUUAAAGUUGUUGCAGUUAAAAAGCUCGUAGUUGAAACUUGGGCCUGGCUGGCGGGUCCGCCUCACCGCGUGCACUCGUCCGGCCGGGCCUUCCUUCUGAAGAACCUCAUGCCCUUCACUGGGCGUGCUGGGGAAUCAGGACUUUUACUUUGAAAAAAUUAGAGUGUUCAAAGCAGGCCUUUGCUCGAAUACGUUAGCAUGGAAUAAUAAAAUAGGGCGUGCGUUUCUAUUUUGUUGGUUUCUAGAGACGCCGCAAUGAUUAACAGGAACAGUCGGGGGCAUCAGUAUUCAGUUGUCAGAGGUGAAAUUCUUGGAUUUACUG
This 677-nucleotide ribosomal RNA is filed under the name Alternaria maritima. Its description in RNAcentral is "SSU rRNA". It matches the Rfam family "Eukaryotic small subunit ribosomal RNA", at positions 248 to 931 of the family's 1831-position model. The record is from RNAcentral. Lineage: Eukaryota; Fungi; Ascomycota; Dothideomycetes; Pleosporales; Pleosporaceae.